Molecule: ribosomal RNA, 1023 nt
Filed under: human gut metagenome
Description: bacterial SSU rRNA
Rfam family: Bacterial small subunit ribosomal RNA
Source: RNAcentral
ACGCUGGCGGCGUGCCUAACACAUGCAAGUCGAGCGAGAAAAUUUCCUUCGGGGGAUGAGUACAGCGGCGGACGGGUGAGUAACACGUGAACAACCUGCCCUUGAGACCGGGAUAACACCGGGAAAUCGGUGCUAAUACCGGAUACGCUCUGUGGUUCGCAUGGACUGUAGAGGAAAGGUUUACUGUUCAAGGAUGGGUUCGCGUCUGAUUAGCUAGUUGGUGAGGUAAAGGCCCACCAAGGCGACGAUCAGUAGCCGGCCUGAGAGGGUGGACGGCCACACUGGAACUGAGACACGGUCCAGACUCCUACGGGAGGCAGCAGUGGGGAAUUUUGCGCAAUGGGGGAAACCCUGACGCAGCGACGCCGCGUGAGCGAAGAAGGUUUUCGGAUCGUAAAGCUCUGUCACAGGGGAAGAUAAUGACGGUACCCUGGGAGGAAGCCCCGGCUAACUACGUGCCAGCAGCCGCGGUAACACGUAGGGGGCAAGCGUUGUCCGGAAUUACUGGGCGUAAAGGGCGCGUAGGCGGUUAUAUAAGUCAGAUGUGAAAGGCCAGGGCUCAACUCUGGGAUUGCACUUGAAACUGUAUAACUUGAGGGCAGGAGAGGUAAGUGGAAUUCCUGGUGUAGCGGUGAAAUGCGUAGAUAUCAGGAGGAACACCAGUGGCGAAAGCGACUUACUGGCCUGGCUCUGACACUGAGGCGCGAAAGCGUGGGGAGCGAACAGGAUUAGAUACCCUGGUAGUCCACGCCGUAAACGAUGGGUACUAGGUGUAGGAGGUAUCGACCCCUUCUGUGCCGCAGCAAACGCAAUAAGUACCCCGCCUGGGGAGUACGGCCGCAAGGUUGAAACUCAAAGGAAUUGACGGGGGCCCGCACAAGCGGUGGAGUAUGUGGUUUAAUUCGACGCUACGCGAAGAACCUUACCGGGGCUUGACAUCCUUCGCAAUCUGUUGAAAGGCAGAGUUCCCUUUUGGGACGGAGAGACAGGUGGUGCAUGGUUGUCGUCAGCUCGUGUCGUGAG